RNAcentral lists this long non-coding RNA (759 nucleotides) under Glycine max (soybean). Its description in RNAcentral is "long non-coding RNA (GMAX_LNC004575)". Lineage: Eukaryota; Viridiplantae; Streptophyta; Magnoliopsida; Fabales; Fabaceae. The record is from RNAcentral.
GAGAAAGGAUCGGGUCUUUCAGCUAUCAAUCUAGAAAGCAGAGUCCAAGGUACAUGUGCUAAGCAUAUAACAACAUAUCAUAUGCCAGUCUCUUUUGAGAGCAUUAUAAUGGGUUGCCCAGCUAACUAAGGGACAUACCAAAGAUUGGGACCUGAAGUGGUAGAACCCGGUUCACCAGGCGUACUACUGAACAUUGAUUCUCUCUCCUGAACUAUAAAUAAUUCUUUCUAGCUAGCAACUAAAAAAAACUACAAGCAACUACAUCAACAACCCUGGGGGAAAUUGAGUAGUCCGCCCUACCUACUAAUUUACUCAACUAAGCUUGCAUCUUACUAUAGGGUUUUUUAGAACCUAAGACUCUUAGAUAGAGAGUUUCAAACCAAAUGUGCCCCCCGACAAUCCAAGUGGGGAACUAAACCAGCAGCGCUACAAACACUUUCAACAGAAUGAGACCUACCUUAUACACUUCUUAAGCCCCCCAUCUUUCUAAGAAGAAGCAACAAGACUGAUUUUCAAAUAUAAGCUCCCCUGAAAAACAAAGCCAUGCGCCGUCCGGAAACAAGUAGUUGUUCUAUUGUCCAAUACGGAUUAAAAGACUUACAACAACUGUCAAAUAAGGGCAGUUCUAAUCAAUGACGUUCAUCGUAAUAGAAAGUAUUCACAUCAGUCAGCUGGUUCAUGGUACGAGAUUUAACAAUAAGGUUUUCAGCUGACGACAGAAGCAAGAUUCAGAACAAGCAACAAACACAUCUUUCCGCU